RNAcentral lists this ribosomal RNA (586 nucleotides) under uncultured bacterium. Its description in RNAcentral is "bacterial SSU rRNA". It matches the Rfam family "Bacterial small subunit ribosomal RNA", at positions 335 to 918 of the family's 1533-position model. The record is from RNAcentral.
ACUCCUACGGAGGCAGCAGUGGGGAAUCAUGGUCAAUGGGCGAAAGCCUGAACCUGCGACGCCGCGUGAGUGAUGAAGGUCGUAAGAUCGUAAAACUCUUUUCAGGGAACUUAAAGCUCCGGCUCUAACAGAGCCUGGAGUCUGACUAUCCCUGGAAUAAGCCCCAGCCAACUACGUGCCAGCAGCUGCGGUAAUACGUAGGGGGCGAGCGUUAUUCGGAAUUACUGGGUGUAAAGGGUAUGUAGGCGGCCUCACAAGUCGCGUGUAAAAGUCCAGCGCUCAACGCUGGGUUGGCACGUGAUACUGUCAGGCUUGAGGACUGGAGAGGUGAGCGGAAUUCCCGGUGUAGUGGUAAAAUACGUAGAUAUCGGGAGGAACACCAGCGGCGUAGGCGGCUCACUAGACAGUUUCUGACGCUAAGAUACGAAAGCGUGGGGAGCAAACAGGAUUAGAUACCCUGGUAGUCCACGCCCUAAACGAUGGAUACUUGGUGUUGGGGGGUUACCUUCAGUGCCGGAGCUAACGCGUUAAGUAUCCCACCUGGGGACUACGGCCGCAAGGCUAAAACUCAAAGGAAUUGACGGGG